RNAcentral lists this long non-coding RNA (638 nucleotides) under Ursus maritimus (polar bear). RNAcentral's name for it is "lncRNA (ENSUMAG00000004904.1)". Lineage: Eukaryota; Metazoa; Chordata; Mammalia; Carnivora; Ursidae. The record is from RNAcentral.
GAAAGGUCCUUCCUGCCACAGUUGAGAAGGGGCUUUUGUUACAAGCUUCUGGUGGCCAGGAAUGCAACUGCAUGGGGCGGAGGAGGCGUGAACGGGGCAGCACGGACGCCGGAAGCAGUCCUCCAGCCAGCAUGCCAGAAACUUCCUACACCUCCAGGCUGUCCUGCACCCACAUGCCCCAGUGUGAGAAGCUCUCUCAGAACGGUACAAGUGGAGUGUGCCUGCAGCGUGACAGCCAGGACCCGUUCUAAGAAGACUGCUUUGUGCUGGGAAGCCGACACACAGCAGAAUAACGCACUAAAAUGGACCGAACGCAGGCUGCCCGGCUUAUCCACACAGCUGACUUUUCCAGAAUACCCGACGUGCAGUCUUUGGAGUGGAAGGUCAGGAAAGGAGAACCACCCGAAUCUCCAAACUGGCUGUAUCUACACAUUUGAGAAAAGCGCUGUCAGGUUCUCCGUCCCCACUCAAAAUCUAAACAACAGCCUUUCUGAUCACAGUCAAAUACGACGAUUGUGGCCUUCAUGGUACCCCCUUUUCUAGAAGCUUCUCAAGCAUCGAACGUGUCUAGAUGCAAAUUUGUACCUUGUAUUUGAAAAUGAAAUAAAAUAAGAUAAAAUAAAGACUCUCCUUCGGGA